GCCAGGUGCGGUGGCGCAUGCCUGUAGUCCUAGCUACUCAGGAGGCUGAGGGUGGAGAAUCCCUUGAGUUCAGGAGUUCUGCGCUGUAAUGCGCUAUACUGAUCUAGUGUCCGCACUAAGUUUGGCAUCAAUAUGGUGACCUCCCAGGAGUGGGGGACCACCAGGUUGCCUAAGGAGGGGUGAACCGGCCCAGGUCAGAAACGGAGCAGGUUAACACUCCCGUGCUGAUCGGUAGUGGGAUUGCGCCUGUGAAUAGCCACUGCACUCCAGCCUGGGCAACACAGUAAGACCCUACCUCU
Molecule: signal recognition particle RNA, 299 nt
Filed under: Cebus imitator (Panamanian white-faced capuchin)
Lineage: Eukaryota; Metazoa; Chordata; Mammalia; Primates; Cebidae
Description: Metazoan signal recognition particle RNA (ENSCCAG00000007344.1)
Rfam family: Metazoan signal recognition particle RNA
About the family: The signal recognition particle (SRP) is a universally conserved ribonucleoprotein. It is involved in the co-translational targeting of proteins to membranes.
Source: RNAcentral